GACGAACGCUGGCGGCGUGCUUAACACAUGCAAGUCGAACGGUAAGGCCCUUUCGGGGGUACACGAGUGGCGAACGGGUGAGUAACACGUGCGUAACCUGCCCACAACUUUGGGAUAACGCUAGGAAACUGGUGCUAAUACUGGAUAUGUGCUCCUUCUUCAUGGGGGGGGUUGGAAAGCUCCGGCCGUUGUGGAUGGACUCGCGGGCUAUCAGCUUGUUGGUGGGGUGGUGGCCUACCAAGGCGGCGUCGGGUGGCCGGCCUGGGGGGGUGACCGGCCACAUUGGGACUGAGGUACGGCCCAGACUCCGACGGGUGGCAGCAGUGGGGAAUAUUGCACAAUGGGCGCAAGCCUGAUGCAGCAGCGCCGCGUGCGGGAUGACGGCCUUCGGGUUGUAAAACGCUUUCAGCAGGGACGAAGCUUUUUGUGACGGUACCUACAGAAGAAGCACCGGCUAACUACGUG
This 465-nucleotide ribosomal RNA is filed under the name uncultured bacterium. Its description in RNAcentral is "partial 16S ribosomal RNA". It matches the Rfam family "Bacterial small subunit ribosomal RNA", at positions 28 to 507 of the family's 1533-position model. The record is from RNAcentral.